GACAGGUGCAGCUCAUCAUCUGACCAUUCUCUCCUUGGCGAUCCCACUUGUCACCAAUCUUGUAGUUCACGCCAUUGUCAUGGCACCAUUCUGAACAGAUAUGAGUAACAAAAGGUUUUUGGAAAGAUCACUUCUGCUACUGAUCAAAGGAAAAAGCUCUGACUACACGCUGUGAAUUUGAACAUACCAGAGUUGCCCACUGUGACCAUCUCUUCACGAACUUUGUGUCUCCUCUGAUUUUUCAGUGCCUCCACUAUGAUGUUGUAGGUAGCCCCUCUGGUAAGGCCAGUCAGUGUGGCACUAGCUGAAGUUCCAGGAACUCUGAACUGUAAUUAUCAGUAAAUCCAAGGCAGAGGAAAAGCAUUAUAGAAAGGAAUAGACAUGGCCUUUCCUAAUGGGAAGUCAUUGAACAACCCUCAUGACAUUAACAAGGGAAGAUGGGGAAUGGAAGGACCAGGGAGAAGACAAUAAUGAGGCGGAGGGUAAUGAGGCAUCAUGGCAUCUAGAGGGACUUUACAGUCAGUUAGUUCAACCUGCUUAUUUUACAAACAAGGAAACUGAGGCCCAUGAAAAUUAAGUGACUUGCUCAAGGUUACAUAGUAAACAUUAGAGGCAGGGUUUGAACCUGAGUCUCCUGAAUCUACAAUUACUCCUGUCUCCACUGGAAUGUGUUAUCUUUUGGGCCAACAUCUCCUCAGCUCUCUCUCUCUCUCUCUCUCUCUCUCUCUCUCUCUCUCUCUCUCUCUCUCUCUCUCUCUCUCUCUCUCUCUCU
Long non-coding RNA from Monodelphis domestica (gray short-tailed opossum), 772 nucleotides. RefSeq lists it as uncharacterized. The record is from RefSeq and is a predicted model, not a curated record. Lineage: Eukaryota; Metazoa; Chordata; Mammalia; Didelphimorphia; Didelphidae.